CGGGGUGAGUAACACGUGGAUAACCUACCUAUAAGACUGGGAUAACUUCGGGAAACCGGAGCUAAUACCGGAUAAUAUUUUGAACCGCAUGGUUCAAAAGUGAAAGACGGUCUUGCUGUCACUUAUAGAUGGAUCCGCGCUGCAUUAGCUAGUUGGUAAGGUAACGGCUUACCAAGGCAACGAUGCAUAGCCGACCUGAGAGGGUGAUCGGCCACACUGGAACUGAGACACGGUCCAGACUCCUACGGGAGGCAGCAG
RNAcentral lists this ribosomal RNA (258 nucleotides) under uncultured bacterium. RNAcentral's name for it is "partial 16S ribosomal RNA". It matches the Rfam family "Bacterial small subunit ribosomal RNA", at positions 100 to 354 of the family's 1533-position model. The record is from RNAcentral.